AUUGAACGCUGGCGGCAUGCUUUACACAUGCAAGUCGAGCGGCAGCGCGGGGGGCAACCCUGGCGGCGAGCGGCGAACGGGUGAGGAAACCAUCGGAACGUGCCCGAGAGUGGGGGGAUAACGCCGCGAAAGCGGCGCUAAUACCGCAUAUUCUCUGAGGAGGAAAGUGGGGGACCGCAAGGCCUCACGCUCCCGGAGCGGCCGAUGUCGGAUUAGCUAGUUGGUGGGGUAAAGGCUUACCAAGGCGACGAUCCGUAGCUGGUCUGAGAGGAUGAUCAGCCACACUGGGACUGAGACACGGCCCAGACUCCUACGGGAGGCAGCAGUGGGGAAUUUUGGACAAUGGGGGCAACCCUGAUCCAGCCAUGCCGCGUGCGGGAAGAAGGCCU
RNAcentral lists this ribosomal RNA (389 nucleotides) under uncultured bacterium. RNAcentral describes it as "bacterial SSU rRNA". It matches the Rfam family "Bacterial small subunit ribosomal RNA", at positions 28 to 417 of the family's 1533-position model. The record is from RNAcentral.